UCCCGAGCUUACUAAGUAUUCCCACAUUAAUAAAUUUGUUUAUUUUUUUUCUACGUAGUGUAUGAGCAGUCCCUAGCUAAUUUUAAACCAAUUAAAAUAGUUAUUAGAACUAUUAUUAAUAACCGAAUCAUGCGAUGGAUUUGUAGCCAUUUGUGUCCACAUGAACCUCUAAAACAAAGUUAUGAAAAAGAGUGCACGAAAUUAGGGACCCAUACAAAUUGUGGGUUCCUAAUUUCGCCAACAACAAAAAUGUUGAAACAAAAUAAGAAAAUUACAUUUUUAAGUAAUAUUAUUGCGUAUUACAAUAAAACAUAUUGAAUUGAAAUAAUCAUACAUAAAUUGGAAUAUUUACCUUUGAUAGAGAUCGAAAUAUUUGUUCACUUCCGUGAGUGUUGAUUUUCUCGUAUCUCUGAAUAUGGCAUAUGCUAUUUGAAUACAUUUGCAAUUUAUUUUUCAAUCUUUGACAUAAAUCAAAUUUUUCAUAUCUUUUUUUGUGAAUUGUAUUGAGAUUAAAUGCAGUUUUGAGGUUAAAACAAAUUUUGGAUGAUUCCGCUGUUAAUUAGAUAAUAAUGCUCUCAGAUGUCAGAAGUUAACGAAGUUUGGGCCCGCACGAAAUUAGGGCACCACACGGUAGUUUCCCCUGGUGUCUUGCAAACAUUUUCCUCAAAUGUCUGUUUUAGCUCAACCUUGUGUUAUGCAUUCAUGCAUUCUUGCCGAGAUCCAUAACCGUGGUAUCUUGCUUUAAGCAGAACUAUUGUCUUGGAAUGUUCAAUCUCCGCUCAACCUUCCAUUAUGGACUACCGUCAGUGUACCAGUAGCCGCUCAUGACCCAAUAGCCGCUCACUGUUGCAAAAAUCAAGUUUACACGCCUAAAUACACUCUUUUCGGUGCUGAUAUUCUUGGACAAUAUCAAUUAGACGAGAGCAAAGCCAUUUUAUGAAAUAUUUACCGGAUAACAUAAAUUUUAAAAACAAAACAAUGAAUUUUUUUGAGCGGCUAUUGGGCCCAAAAAAUCUGUAGCUAAUUUUAUGUGUUCCAAUAACCGCUCACGCAAGAAAAUACAUCAAAAUCGUAAAAUCUGCCGAUUUUAGUACACAGUUUGUUUAACCCCUAUUAUACACUCCUACGGAACAGGAAAAAAUAAUUGUAAAAACAUAGAGUUGCAAAAAUAAUGCACUUUUCCGCAAAAGUCUAUUUAAAAGAUGGCAUAAAUUUGUUCGUGAGCGGAAUUAGGACCACUUUGGUCUCACACCAAAUGUAAUAAAAUCAUACUUUUAUGAAAAGUUUUACAUAAGUCUUGAUUUCCCUGCCCUUCGGUUCAGAAAGGGGUAUGGGCGCGUUCUGCCAACUUGGUCGAGGCAGAUUUCUUGUGAGAACAAGUUGCAUACGGACAUUCAAAAGUGCCUGAACGAAAGAUGCUGCUUGUGAGGAUCACUUGAAGAUCGGAUGGAAGAUCAUUCUUUUUUUUUUUAGAAUAUUCGCGUUCGUCUAUUUGUUGCUCUUCGUGUUCGUAUAUUUUAAGUUUCAUCUUCAACUGAGUUUGAUGAACGCUGCUGGUCAGCAGGGAUGAUCUUCGCAUCUGCAUCCGUUGAACCAUUCUGAAUGGCCGUCGUGAAAGUAUCACCAAAAGCGCUACUAACAUUUCUUUUAUAUUUUCAUGUAUCUGAGUAUCAUGAGUGAUAGCAGUAAGCAGGGAUAGCAGUGAAAAAUGGAAGUAAUGCAGUACGACGGUGGUGCGAUGCUGGUUAAAAAAUAUCGCUGGAGAUGAGCAUUGUUUGUACUCAGCCAUGUCUAAGACGUGCUCCGAAGUCUCAGGAAAGGAAGCAUGCAUAAAGCACUAAUCUACAAAAUCUCGGGAAAAAGUUGGAAGACCUUAUUUCACGUGAAAAUCCAGCGGUAGACAAGAGGUGGAUAUGGACGGAUGUUCGUUGAAAUUGGAAGGAAAUUGGUAAUGACAGCCUAAUUUAAGAAAGCGACGAAGAUUGCAGCAGGAGAUAGUGAAGUUGGACUACGAAGACGAUUUUCUAGAAACCGCAGACAGCAAAUGACAUAGGCUUAUCGUAUUUCGACGGAGGUGGCGAUGAGGACGAAGCAGCAUUCCAAGAACAUAACCAAAAUUUAAUCACAACUACCUACCACAAAAAACAA
Molecule: long non-coding RNA, 2148 nt
Organism: Aedes albopictus (Asian tiger mosquito)
Lineage: Eukaryota; Metazoa; Arthropoda; Insecta; Diptera; Culicidae
Exons: 2
Source: RefSeq, a predicted model, not a curated record